CAUGCACCGGUGGGGUCCCUCGUCUUGGCCUGCACCCUCUUGGAGAGCUGGUUUCCGCUCAAACCCUGCAGGCCAGGCCGAGGGACCCCACCGGUGCACA
RNAcentral lists this microRNA precursor (100 nucleotides) under Myotis brandtii (Brandt's bat). RNAcentral describes it as "mir-9193 microRNA precursor family". It matches the Rfam family "mir-9193 microRNA precursor family". The record is from Rfam by way of RNAcentral. Lineage: Eukaryota; Metazoa; Chordata; Mammalia; Chiroptera; Vespertilionidae.